RNAcentral lists this small RNA (557 nucleotides) under Pongo abelii (Sumatran orangutan). Its description in RNAcentral is "retained intron". The record is from RNAcentral. Lineage: Eukaryota; Metazoa; Chordata; Mammalia; Primates; Hominidae.
CGGCUCAGCCCAGGGCACGCCCAUGCGCAGCACCUCGGUGAGGCCUGCAGGCGGAUGCCCUGUCUUCCCGCCCUCAGAGGAACAUGCUUUCUGUGCCAACCUGGGGCCCGUCCAGAGCAGCAGCAGCAGUGAGGGCCUGGCCAGAGCCCAGGGGCUCAGCAGCGAAGCUUCUGUGGAGAGCAACGAGGACUCGGAUCACGCCUGUAAAAGCUCAGCUAGCAAACAAGCUAAAAGUUACAUGAAGACCAAGAAUCCUGACAGCCAGUGGCCUCCCCGCACUGCACCUGACAGGGAAGGCUUUCUCGAUGAGUCCAGCCCCCAGACUCAGAGGGCCCCUUACUCAGGACCCCAGCACACCGACGCCGCCCCACACAGUGGCAUUCCAGAAGGAGAGAGCAGAAACAGUGGGUGAGAAACAGCCUGACGAUGUCAGUGGAUCAGAAACACGGAUCUUACAUCCAGGGAGCUCGGUGAACUCCAGACAGGUGAACUCGGAGAAGAGCUACGCUUAGACAAGUGAAAAUCAGAAGAUCCGACACUGAGACUCUAGAAUUAGA